GGAGGUUAUCCUACCAUUCUGCCCACCACCUUUCUCUACAACAAUCAGUCUAUCUUGUACAUACAUAGCAUUGAUGUCCAUAGAUUUGUUCGUCUGUUUGUUGGAGCUGACAGUCAAAAUCUAAGAACUAAUAAUGAGAUCUAGACAAUGGUAUUCCAAGAGUAGACUAUGGAUUUUGGUGUUGGCCCUUUUCUGAAUCAGAGCCCAUUCAGAUUGCAUUGAGCUUGUUCAUGGAUUUUUGCAAUGGUUAUGUAGCUGGAGUAGACUCCUGUAUUACAGGGCUUAUUGGAGUUGGAAAUUUGGAGAACAAUAGUUGCACUCCCGCUUUACGUGCUGAAAAGAGCUUCGAAUGGAAGAUUGCAGAUAUAAAUCUCAUUCAGUUACUUCAAGUAGCUAGUAAUGUAUUCAAACUGAGCUUUCCCAUAGAAAAAAAAGUAUAAAUCCAAGUUGGGCAUGGGCAAAAGUUAUAUGAGUUGUCCGGAGCGUCCAUUACACACAUCAGAGAAUUUGUGUGGAAAGCUAGAAAAAGAUAAGACCUGCAGAAAGCUUGUGUAGAAGCUGAAAGAUGAGUAUACUUUAAUGAGCAAUUAUACCAUCUUUAUUGUCUGUUAUUAAUAAAGCGCGAGGACAAAAGCAUGUGGAGCAAUUGAUGGGGCAAGACAGUAGAGCUGGUUGACAUUCAGUGUUACACAGUUUCUGUUAUUAUCAGAACUUCUGCCAUGACUAAUUAGUAAUACAGAAGUUCCAGUGUAGAAGAAUACGGCUCGUACCUAUUAUGCUAUUCAUUCUGCAAGCAAACAGUAGGAAACGUAAAAAGAAUCGAACCCCAUUCACCAUGCUAAAUAAGUAAGAAGAAUCGAACCCCAUUCAGUUUUGUCUACUCUUCUUGUCUGCAAGCAUUGAAAAUAUACAGAUAAGUUUGCAUCGUAUUAAUUUAUCUUCAUUCAUUCAGGCUACCAAUUAAAUUGGCAUUCUCUGAAGAAAACAAAACUGAGACAUUUUUUUUUUUGAGCUGAGUGGUCCAAUUGUUGUGAAAGCAUAAAUGUUGAUAAUUGUGCUGCCCA
Cryptomeria japonica (Japanese cedar) is the source of this 1064-nucleotide long non-coding RNA. RefSeq lists it as uncharacterized. The transcript is spliced from 3 exons. The record is from RefSeq and is a predicted model, not a curated record. NCBI's taxonomy places the organism in Eukaryota, Viridiplantae, Streptophyta, Pinopsida, Cupressales, Cupressaceae.